Molecule: ribosomal RNA, 389 nt
Filed under: Biecheleria sp.
Lineage: Eukaryota; Dinophyceae; Suessiales; Biecheleriaceae
Description: partial small subunit ribosomal RNA
Rfam family: Eukaryotic small subunit ribosomal RNA
Source: RNAcentral
AUUCCAGCUCCAAUAGCGUAUAUUAAAGUUGUUGCGGUUAAAAAGCUCGUAGUUGGAUUUCUGCCGAGGAUGACCGGUCCGCCCUGUGGGUGUGCAUCUGGCUCAGCCUUGGCAUCUUCCUGAAGAACGUAGCUGCACUUGACUGUGUGGUGCGGUAUUUAGGACAUUUACUUUGAGGAAAUAAGAGUGUUCCAAGCAGGCUCUCGUCGUGCAUAGCUCAGCAUGGAAUAAUAGCAUUGGACUUCGUUUCUACGCUGUUGGUUGCAAGAAGCGAGGUAAUGAUGAAGAGGGAUAGUUGGGGGCAUUCGUAUUUAACUGUCAGAGGUGAAAUUCUUGGAAUUGUUAAAGACGGACUACUGCGAAAGCAUCUGCCAUGGAUGUUUUCAUCG